GGAAAGGAGGCUCAGUGGUAGAGCACUUGCCUUGCAUGCAUGAGGCCCUGGAUUCCAUUCCU
This 62-nucleotide transfer RNA is filed under the name Dipodomys ordii (Ord's kangaroo rat). It matches the Rfam family "tRNA", at positions 1 to 61 of the family's 71-position model. From Rfam's summary of the family: Transfer RNA (tRNA) molecules are approximately 80 nucleotides in length. Their secondary structure includes four short double-helical elements and three loops (D, anti-codon, and T loops). Lineage: Eukaryota; Metazoa; Chordata; Mammalia; Rodentia; Heteromyidae. The record is from Rfam by way of RNAcentral.